RNAcentral lists this long non-coding RNA (994 nucleotides) under Homo sapiens (human). RNAcentral describes it as "non-protein coding lnc-PTPRK-3:1". Lineage: Eukaryota; Metazoa; Chordata; Mammalia; Primates; Hominidae. The record is from RNAcentral.
GUGCGCAAAGAUCGCCUCCGCAGGAUGAGGGAGUGGUGGGUCCAGGUGGGGCUGUGGGCCGCGCUCCUGCUUGCUGCGUACCUGCACAUCCCAUACACUCAGCUGUCACCUGAUCUUCACUCGUGGAAGUCUUCAGGCAAGUUUUUCACUUACAAGGGACUGCGUAUCUUCUACCAAGACUCUGUGGGUGUGGUUGGAAGUCAGGAGACAGUUGUGGUUUUACACGUUUUCCAAUAUCCAGCUACGAUUGGUACAAGAAUUGGGAAGGUCUGACCUUGAGGUUUCAUCGGGUGAUUGCCCUUGAUUUCUUGGCGUUGGCUUCAGUGACAAACCGAGACCGCAUCACUAUUCCAUAUUUGAGCAGGUCAGCAUCGUGGAAGCGCUUUUGCGGCAUCUGGGGCUCCAGAACUGCAGGAUCAAGUCUCAUGACUAUGGAGAUAAUUGUCGCUCAGGAGUUUCUCUACAGGUACAAGCAGAAUCGAUCUGGUCGGCAUACCAUAAAGAGUCUGUCUGUCAAAUGGAGGUAUCUUUCCUGAGACUCACCGUCCACUCCUUCUCCAAAAGCUACUCAAAGAUGGAGGUGUGCUAUCACUCAUCCUCACAUGACUGAUGAACUUCUUUGUAUUCUCUCGAGGUCUCACCCCAGUCUUUGGGCCGUGUACUUGGCUCUGUGAGAGUGAGCUGUGGGACAUGUGGGCAGGGAUCCGCAUCAAUGACGGGAACUUAGCCAUUGACGGUCUCUUACAGUACAUCAAUCAGAGGAAGAAGCUCAGAAGGCGCUGGGUGGGAGCUCUUGCCUCUGUAACUAUCCCCAUUCAUUUUAUCUACCGGCCAUUGGAUCCUGUAAAUCCCUAUCCAGAGUUUUUGGAUCUGUACGGGAAAACGCUGCUGCGGUCCACAGUGUGGAUUCUGGAUGACCACAUUAGCCACUAUCCACAGCUAGAGGAUACCAUUGGCUUCUUGAAUGCAUAUAUGGGCUUCAUCUAACUCCUUC